RNAcentral lists this ribosomal RNA (531 nucleotides) under uncultured eukaryote. RNAcentral describes it as "bacterial LSU rRNA". It matches the Rfam family "Bacterial large subunit ribosomal RNA", at positions 21 to 562 of the family's 2925-position model. The record is from RNAcentral.
ACGGUGGAGUGCCUUGGCGUCUCGGAGGCGAAGAAGGACGUGAUAAGCUGCGAAAAGCCCGGGGGAGAUGCAAAUAAUCCCUGAUCCCGGGAUCUCCGAAUGGGGCAACCCGGCAGGUUGAAGACCUGUCAUCUCGUUAGAGAGGCGAACGCGGGGAACUGAAACAUCUAAGUACCCGUAGGAAGAGAAAACAAAAGUGAUUCCGCAAGUAGUGGCGAGCGAACGCGGAACAGCCCAAACCGAUGUUGUCUAGGCAAUAUCGGGGUAGUAGGACCACGCUGUGGCAAGAAAUUAUCGAAGUAGAACGUUUUGGAAAGAACGGCCAAAGACGGUGACAGCCCGGUAUACGAAUCGGUAACGAAGCCUAGUGGAAUCCUGAGUAGCGCGGGACACGAGAAAUCCUGUGUGAAUCAGCGGGCCCAUCCCGUAAGGCUAAAUACUCCCGAGAGACCGAUAGCGAACCAGUACUGUGAAGGAAAGGUGAAAACGAACCUCGAAACAGAGGAGUGAAAUAGACCCUGAACCCGUCUG